AAGAGGGCAGACGGGAUUGGGAGGGCCUUGCAGGGGCGAAGUUAAGGAGGCAGGACUUGUUCCGAAGGCAGAGGAGAGCCCCUAAGAGAUUUCAGCCAGAACAGCACGAUCGGAUUGACCUUACCACAAAGUGUCUGUCUGGUGGUGGCAGUGUCGCGAUGGGGGAGGGGCAAAGCCCGGGGCCGAAAGACUAGUGAGCAGAAAAGGACGGUUCUCCAGGUAGAAGACGCUGGGGGCCUGCACGGAGGAAGUGAGAGCACGGCAGGAGCGACCGCAGACGACCCGAAGCACGGAAGGAAACGGGCCCUGGGACUUGAUGACUGCGGGGUGGGGCGGCGGGCUGAUGGCCAAGUCAAGCGGUGGCUAAGAUGGGAGACGCGGGAAGUGUGCAGGAAAGGUGCGGAGCUCGGUUUAGGACACAGACUGUUAAGAUUUCUGUGGCACCCUAGUUAACUAUGCCCGGACCUCGGGCCAGGGCGGGGGCUGCGAGGGGACCAGACGGCAUCCGGAGGGCGCACAGAGGGGAAGGCGCCCCAGGGCAGCUCCCCAGGGGUCCCCACCCCGCAACCGGACAACUGCUUAGAGGCCACUUUUCGUCCAACGUACGCUGCGAGACGGGGAGGGGAGCUCACUGCUCUCGUCUUCCAGGUAACCCUGUGGAUACAAGAGUGCCAUCUGUGUGUGGUUUGCUGCAGAAAAGUGAAGCAUGCCUAGCAUCUUGAAGAGAGGCACCCCCUCAAAUCUGCACCUCUGUUCUCUUUCAAACAGACACGGACACGGGCAGUAGCACAUGGGAAAGUCUCUCACUCUCUGCUUUUCCGUGUUUUCUCUUUCUCUUCUUUCUUUGUCUUCUUUCAGGCGCACGGCUUCGUAGCACCCCUAAAAUCCCCACUGGCCGUGCUCGCUGUGUCUAAUUGGUGUCGGUCCCGGAAGAGGUGCUGGGGUUCUCAAUCAUCCAGUUAUUGGCUGAAUGCUGACAAGUCAGUUCUUCAGAAGACGGACGAGAGCGGAGGAACCAAGGAUGCAUGGCAGGAAUUUGGGGAUUCGGUAGCAUAAAACUGAGAGAAAGGGCCGUAUCUUCAAGAGGCCCCCCACCUUUCUUCUUCAGUCUGUGCCUUUGGCUGAGAAGUGGUAAUCCUUAAUGAGAGUCGAGGGUAAAGGGUCUCUGCCCCUCCCGUUUUCCUUGGCCUCUUUAGGCCUGGUUCUACAGGUAGUAGCCAGUGCUGGGCCCAUCUGUGGCUCUGCCAAAGACAGGGGAAAAGGGACAGUCAGCCUCAAAUCAGUCCCUGUCACUGCUUGUUCACGGUGCCCGUAUCAGGAGGGUUAAGAAAUCAGAAAUAAAAUUAUUCUGAAGGGGA
Felis catus (domestic cat) is the source of this 1358-nucleotide long non-coding RNA. RefSeq lists it as uncharacterized. The transcript has 2 exons. Lineage: Eukaryota; Metazoa; Chordata; Mammalia; Carnivora; Felidae. The record is from RefSeq and is a predicted model, not a curated record.